Myodes glareolus (Bank vole) is the source of this 603-nucleotide non-coding RNA. The record is from RefSeq and is a predicted model, not a curated record. Lineage: Eukaryota; Metazoa; Chordata; Mammalia; Rodentia; Cricetidae.
AGACCCCUUGAGCCAUGCUAACACAUGUGUGCUGUCUUGCCAGCACGGCGAGACUCUGAGGGUGGCUGGAUGUGUGCCCAUGCCCCCACUCAGGUGUGCCCUAUUCGUCUCUGGGAAGAAGAGGAACAGCUGUUCUUUCUCCUCACAAGAGAAAACCGAGGAAAUGGAAUUAGCCUGCAGAUGAAUGAUUUAAGUUUGCUCUGGAGGGAAGCAAGCUUAUAUAAGGGUUAUUAAGCACUGAGAUGGGCUAAGAGGAUUACCAAGAGGACAUUUUAGUGAUCUGUGUCCCUGGAUGUUUGCAAAAAGGUCCAGGUCUUGAGUUGAGGAGGAGGGAAAGGAUUGUGUCCAGGAUCACAGUCAUUUUUCAGAACAAAUCAGCCUUCUGAUGUUCUACCUUCUGUGCAAAAAGACACCGAACCAAGAGGCUGACAACCAUCUCCUAGAACAACAACAACAACAACAACAACAAUAAAAAAGCUAAGACAUCAAGUCAGUAACACACCCAACAGCUAUGUUCACAUGAGUCCAAAUGUUCAGAGAAACCCACUGGAAAAUGAAAAUGACUAAGUUCGGUAUCCAACAAAGAGAUCUUCUUUAGUUAAA